GGUGGCGCGUGUCCCUGUCCAGCUGAGAACCCGCAGCCGGGCGCAGUUCCAGAAAAGUUUGUCGCGGCGGAGUUGCCGGUGUUGGCGGCUGGCCCUGUUGGGCUGGUCGGGGGCGCCUCAGCCCAGCGGGAAUACUCGCCCCGCAGCGGGAAGUUCUUACGGGGCGAGGGAAAAAACCCUUGGGAGCAACUGAAUGUCCCUUCCUUGGAGCAACAGGCGCCCGCCCCUCCAGCCCAAGUGGUGUCCACGUGUGUGCUGUGAGUGGAAUUCCCUCUCUGCUUCCUCCUCCUUGUCACGGUGGGCAGGAGCAGAGAGCCGGCCUCCUGGUUCUGCACUUCAGAUCGGGGACAUUUUUCAACCGAGGGUGUCAGAUUUUCCCCAAGGGAUAAUGUGGUUGGAAUGGAUUCAAGGCUUUUCUCCUCUGUGUGCCUCAGUUUCUUUAUUUAUGCAUUGGAACCGAUGAUCCCCAGAUCAUGGGUAUGAUGUGGAGAUAACACCUGUGUAAGGGUUUGUUAAUUGCUGGUGGCAGAACAGGAAGCGGUCGUCUGCCCAGCGUGUGAGCGGGAGAACUUUUGGCUUCAGGAAGGCUCAGCAUUGUCUUCCACGCCCACCUGAGUGUCUGUUGGCAUUUGUGCAAGGAGAGGAUGACACCAGAUGAGGUCUGUGGGAGCCCGGCAGCCUAUCCCCGAUCUCCGAUCUCCUGCCCUCUGACCAGUGGCUCCACUUCGUGCUUUCUUCCUCUCUACCUGUUGGAGGCUUGGUUCCCAGUGCUGGUUGCUACCUCCCCGACUCCCUGCCUCACCUUUCUGGUUCUGCUUAGAACAACUUCCGAUUCAGAGACAAUGUAUCUAGGUCUUAAAUGACUGCUCUUCCCCCAGUGACAGCCCCAGCCCUGGAGAGCUACCUUCUCUUUGGCUUGGUGGCAAGGGGCCUCUGUGGGCAUACUGGGGGGGGGGCGGCGGCAGUGCUUCAGUUUGUCCCUUAUUUAUCCUCCCCCAGCUGUGUGAGUUCAGGGCGGGACUAGGUUUGGAGGGAUAUUUUGUUACUGAUUAGCAAUCUAUGGCUACAACUCAGGUUUCUUUCUGCAACUCUGCCUGCACCCUGUCUCCCACCACAGACACCUUUUGGCAGGCCCCGGGAGCUCAAAGCCAGCUGCGUCAUCAACGAUACUUGGCGAGAGUGAUUCUCUGCAGGACACAGGGAGUGCCGAGUGUCCGGGCCUGUUUGCAGGGAAGUCACAGGUGGCCUUGAGACGUUCUCCCACCAACAUCAGCAGAAUGCCUGAACACAAAGCAAGGCCCUUCUCUUAGAAACCAGGCUUUUCAAUACUGGGUCCUGGGGCUUUAAGCUGGCCCGGAGUGGCUGAUGCCUCAGUAUGCUCUCAGUUUGUCCUCAUGGGAACUCUGGGGAGGUGGUGUUAUGCCCAUUUUACAGACAGGAAAGUAGAGGCUCAGAGGGGCUCCAGGCCUUGCCUGGGAAGGCAGCCAAGGUGGGACAUGCGUAUCCUGGGAGGGGAUACACCAGUCCAUCUGCACUCCGGCCACGACCUUGCAUCCCCGGCCUGUUAGAAUUCCACCUUCACUGUUAAUUGGCAGACAGUGAUGACUCCCUCUUCUGGAUUCCUGACUCCGGUUGCCCUCCCCUCCUGGCUGCGAAGUGUCAAUUCCUUAGCACACAGAUGGUUGAUAACCCCAGAGUCAGGCUGCCCUGAGUUUGAAUCUUGGCACCUUCGAGGGUCUUGGCAAGUGCAUUAGCUUUGCGGAGCCUCUCUCUGCCCCUCUUCUGUACGGUGGGGCGGAACUCGGAGCCCCCUGCUCACACAGAGUCGCUGAGCUGCACUUGCCCACACCUCCUGGGCUUGCCAGACCCACUUCUGCUGCUCUGCAGAACCCUGGUUGCUGCUGGACAGCUUGCCUGAGUGUGCAUCUGAGAGCUCCGCGUGUGUGCAGCCGCACCUGCUGCUGAGCGGGCACGGUGGCCCUGCUGCUCUCUCCUGGACUCUACCUUCGAGCGGCCGCGGUUGGAGGCGGCCAUCUGUAUUCCAGGCGGUCCUCUGGAGGUCAGGCCUGGCGCGCCUGUGAAUGCCUAUGCAAAUCGGGUCUCCUGGGCUCUUGGGCCGGAGGUCUGGCCCGGGUGCUCAUUGCUGCAAUCCAGUGCUGCACACUGAGACAGCUCAGACGUUGCAAAUUCAGGUUUCCCCCCGGAACUGACGUGAUUUUCAAACAAAAGAACUUUCAGCGCCUUCUCUGCCCGCCCCUCCCCCACCACACCCCCCUGGUCCCUGGGUGUGUCCCCCUCCUCCGCUCCCCUGUGGCUCACGCAGAGAAACAAGCGUCUCCCUGCAAGCCUGUGAAUAGUCACCAUUUACUUUUUAAAGUUUGGAGUAAAAAUUUGUGCU
Molecule: non-coding RNA, 2398 nt
Organism: Heterocephalus glaber (naked mole-rat)
Lineage: Eukaryota; Metazoa; Chordata; Mammalia; Rodentia; Bathyergidae
Source: RefSeq, a predicted model, not a curated record